RNAcentral lists this ribosomal RNA (253 nucleotides) under uncultured bacterium. Its description in RNAcentral is "partial 16S ribosomal RNA". It matches the Rfam family "Bacterial small subunit ribosomal RNA", at positions 524 to 776 of the family's 1533-position model. The record is from RNAcentral.
UACAGAGGGUGCGAGCGUUAAUCGGAAUUACUGGGCGUAAAGGGUGCGUAGGUGGUUUGGUCAGUUAGGUGUGAAAGUCCUGGGCUCAACCUGGGGAUUGCGCCUAAUACUGCUGAGCUAGAGUACUGUAGAGGAAAGUGGAAUUUCCGGUGUAGCGGUGAAAUGCGUAGAUAUCGGAAGGAACAUCAGUGGCGAAGGCGACUUUCUGGACAGAUACUGACACUGAGGCACGAAAGCGUGGGGAGCAAACAGG